RNAcentral lists this ribosomal RNA (97 nucleotides) under Clostridium sp. Lineage: Bacteria; Bacillati; Bacillota; Clostridia; Eubacteriales; Clostridiaceae. The record is from RNAcentral.
GGAAACACUCCUUCCCAUUCCGAACAGGAAAGUUAAGCUCUACAGCGCCAAUGGUACUGCACGGGAGACUGUGUGGGAGAGUAGGACGUUGCUAGGU